Cyprinus carpio carpio is the source of this 1335-nucleotide long non-coding RNA. Lineage: Eukaryota; Metazoa; Chordata; Actinopteri; Cypriniformes; Cyprinidae. The record is from Ensembl.
CAUUAAUAUAUCAGAAUGUGUUAACUUUUUAAUGGCAAGAGGAGCUUCUUGAUGUAGUUUAUACUAAAUACUGACAUUGCAUUUUAAAAGUUUUUCAUGUAAAUAUCAAAAUGUCACUUGCAUUACAACUAGAAGGCAUAUCCUGCCAAAUGUCAAUAGACCCUGCAUGUAAAGGCAACAGUACAUUCAUACAGGUGAUUCAUGUGGGAGCCAUAUAAAUAUGAAGCAUAAAACGACAGAUGGGACCUAAUGCUUAUACAGUGCAUCCCUUUUUGCAACUUUUGUCAGUUUUCUAAAGCAAGCCCUGAAAGUGAAAAGCCACUGCGAGCUAUAUAUGGAAUGUAUGCAAUUAUAACAAAACGACGAAGCUGAGAUGGGAAAGCAGAUGAUCAUAACAUCUCAUCUGAGCUCGGUGAAACGGAGCUGCUCUCUGACAUAUCGUGAAUCUCUGCCACCUCAUCACCUCCAAAAGAGAGGCAGACAGACGGAGAAAGAGCAAGAACAGUAGGCUCAUUCGAAAACACAUCAAAUCAGGCUAUUUUCGGCAUCUAAACAACAGCAUUUGGUGCAGGUGAAGUCCAUGUUGUCAGUACCAAGGCGUUCAUGGGAAGCUGUAAUAAGUUUUGGAGUGUGCCCUGUUUGGAUGAUUUUCCAGAAAGCAAUCUGAUAUCACUAGGUGUAAGUGCACAAGGCCUGGGGGCAGAUGAGUCGGAUGCUUCCGUCAGUAGUAGCUGUCUAUUAUACUGCGGGAGAGCUUGGAGGAAGUGGAAAUAGAGAGUGAGCAAGCUAAGAUAAACAUUGCAAACCCUCCAAUCAACUCCAUAAUGGAGUGGCAGCUCGAUGGGGUUAAACGGCAAGCUUGACGGGAGAAGGCUGAGCAUCCAGUGAUCUUUAAUGAACAAGCGCACAAGGCUGAAUGCACUUAUUUGUAUACAAAACAUUAUCUUGGUAUUCAAGGCACACAUCUCAUCUGAGGCGUUCAGCUUUGUGUGACGGUGUGGUAUUAAGGCUCGGUAAGCCUCCUCUGAGCAAUGUGGAGUGGAUGGAAUAAGCAUAUCUGUUCUUCACCUUUCUGGUGAAGGAAACUCUCACACACUACACCUUGACAUUCAUGACAGCGAGGAUACUCAGAGUGAUUGUAAUCCACAUUGCCGACAAGCAGAAUAGGAGGAAUUUUCCUCCCUUUUCUGGUGUAGAACCAUCAUUUGUUUGCAUAAUGACACUUCCAGACUAGAGACGGCUUCUGUUGCAGUGCUGCCCUUUAAACCCCUGCUUUGAUUUGGCAAGGUCUCAGGCUCUUUUCAUCUCUUAUAUGAGAGAAAAUUUAGAUUUGGG